UGCAAGUCGAGCGAGAAGUUGGAAGUGAAGAUUUCGGUUGGAACGGAAGAUGGAAAGCGGCAGACGGGUGAGUAACGCGUGAAUAAUCAACCCUGUACAAAGGGAUAGCCUCGGGAAACCGGGAUUAAUACCAUAUGAAGUAUAUUAAUCGCAUGAUAGAUAUAUUAAAACUUUGGUGGUACAGGACGAGUUCGCGUCCCAUUAGCUAGUUGGUGAGAUAAAAGCUUACCAAGGCGACGAUGGGUAGCCGGCCUGAGAGGGUGAACGGCCACACUGGAACUGAGACACGGUCCAGACUCCUACGGGAGGCAGCAGUGGGGAAUAUUGCACAAUGGAGGAAACUCUGAUGCAGCGACGCCGCGUGAGCGAAGAAGGCUUUCGAGUCGUAAAGCUCUGUCCUAAGAGAAGAAGAAGUGACGGUAACUUAGGAGGAAGCCCCGGCUAACUACGUGCCAGCAGCCGCGGUAAUACGUAGGGGGCUAGCGUUGUCCGGAAUUACUGGGCGUAAAGGGUGAGUAGGUGGUCAUUAAAGUCAGAUGUAAAAGGCAAUGGCUCAACCAUUGUAAGCAUUUGAAACUUAAUGACUUGAGUGCAGGAGAGGGAAAUGGAAUUCCUAGUGUAGCGGUGAAAUGCGUAGAUAUUAGGAAGAACACCAGUGGCGAAGGCGAUUUACUGGACUGUAACUGACACUGAGUCACGAAAGCGUGGGGAGCGAACAGGAUUAGAUACCCUGGUAGUCCACGCUGUAAACGAUGAGUGCUAGGUGUCGGCAAGAGAUUGUCGGUGCCGCAGUUAACGCAUUAAGCACUCCGCCUGGGGAGUACGAUCGCAAGAUUGAAACUCAAAGGAAUUGACGGGGACCCGCACAAGCAGCGGAGCAUGUGGUUUAAU
Molecule: ribosomal RNA, 891 nt
Filed under: uncultured Eubacteriales bacterium
Lineage: Bacteria; Bacillati; Bacillota; Clostridia; Eubacteriales
Description: bacterial SSU rRNA
Rfam family: Bacterial small subunit ribosomal RNA
Source: RNAcentral